UAGAUGGUUUUAUGGGAGCAUAAAGAAUAUCUGGAUGUAGUGCUUGUACUGCAAACAAGUCCAGAUUAGAAUGUUAAACAAGGUCGAAUAUCAGGAGAGCCUGAUAAAAUCUGGAAUGGGCUUCAAAGCAAUGGUUAUGGUGGAUUUAGGAGGGAAUAGUUUCGUUAGUAUUAAUAUAUGUGGAAAUCCGGGUGCAUUGGUCACUUCAAUUAAUGGAUAUAUGAUAUUGAGGUGAAGCGGAAGAUCAGGGCCUACAGCUUAGCAUUUUCUCCUUCCGGAAUUGGGUCGGGCUCAGCCCAUGUCAGAUCUGGGCUUCGUCC
RNAcentral lists this long non-coding RNA (320 nucleotides) under Phoenix dactylifera (date palm). RNAcentral describes it as "long non-coding RNA (PDAC_LNC019099)". The record is from RNAcentral. Lineage: Eukaryota; Viridiplantae; Streptophyta; Magnoliopsida; Arecales; Arecaceae.